Molecule: non-coding RNA, 145 nt
Organism: Drosophila ficusphila
Lineage: Eukaryota; Metazoa; Arthropoda; Insecta; Diptera; Drosophilidae
Source: Rfam
CUGGUGGCCGGUAGCAAUGGCUUGUGGUUCGAUUGGAGACUGCCUGCUUAUAACACUUGGCUAGAUCGAAAUUCUAUCUAAUAUCCGUAGCGUCAUAAUGUGUAAUUUAGCCGACAUUUGGCGUAUGAAACGAAGAGACAUUUUC